GCGGUCGCCUCCCAAAAGGUAACGGAGGCGCUCAAAGGUUCUCUCAGUACGGUCGGAAAUCGUACGUAGAGUGUAAAGGCAAAAGAGAGCUUGAUUGCAAGACAUACAGGUCGAGCAAGGAUGAAAAUCGGACUUAGUGAUCCGGUGGUUCUGCGUGGAAGGGCCAUCGCUCAACGGAUAAAAGCUACCCUGGGGAUAACCGGCUUAUCUCCCCCAAGAGUCCACAUCGACGGGGAGGUUUGGCACCUCGAUGUCGGCUCAUCACAGCCUGGGGCUGUAGUAGGUCCCAAGGGUUGGGCUGUUCGCCCAUUAAAGUGGUACGCGAGCUGGGUUCAGAACGUCGUGAGACAGUUCGGUCCCUAUCCGUCGCAGGCGUAGGAAAUUUGAGAAGACCUGUCCUUAGUACG
RNAcentral lists this ribosomal RNA (407 nucleotides) under Clostridioides difficile. RNAcentral's name for it is "bacterial LSU rRNA". It matches the Rfam family "Bacterial large subunit ribosomal RNA", at positions 2279 to 2685 of the family's 2925-position model. The record is from RNAcentral. Lineage: Bacteria; Bacillati; Bacillota; Clostridia; Peptostreptococcales; Peptostreptococcaceae.